RNAcentral lists this ribosomal RNA (115 nucleotides) under Candidatus Pacearchaeota archaeon. The record is from RNAcentral. Lineage: Archaea; Nanobdellati.
GAAGACGGCCAUAGUAGCCAGGAAAUACCUGAUCCCGUUCCGAUCUCAGAAGUCAAGCUGGCUACGUUGUCUGUUGUAGUGUCCGACAAGAUGCGAAGCAGCGAUGUCGUCUUCG